UAAGAAGUGCAACAUGUUCGGUAGGUGAAGCCGUGAAAGGGUGAUGUGCCAAGUUCCUUUUCGCAUUAAGAAUUGCCUAGUUGUGUGCGGUAGGUGACCUGAACAUGCUUAUCCUCCCUGCAGGUCAAGUCAAGAACUAUUCCAUUUCUAUCUGCAUCCCCAUGUAACACUAGAACAAUCAGCUGUACCGGGCUAAAUCCAUACCAGAGAGGUGAGACAUGGAGGAUACGGCGGUGAGCCUGUGCAAGUCCGUGCUGGAUGUAGUCCUUGGCCACGCCAAAUCCAUGGUCGCGGAGGAGGUCGCCCUGCAGCUGGGCGUCCAGCGCGAUGUGGCCAUCAUCGCUGACGAGUUCGAGAUGAUGAGAUACUUCCUGAUGACCGGAGACAACAACCAAGAUCUGGGCUGGGUGAGGCAGGUCCGCGACCUGGCGUACGACGUCGAGGACGUCCUCGAGCGUUUGGCCGCGAAGGCGGAUCAGUUGGAGAAGCCGUCCCGGUGGCGCAUCCCUCGCAUCCUGUGCGAGCGGCGCAGGGCCACCCUUGAGGUGAAGGAGCUCUUGGCAAGGGUCGCGGACGUGGCGUUUGUUAGCAAGAGGAGCCUGUACAGCCGCCUCGUCAAGGGCUCCGAAGCUGACCCUGCCACUCUAGCCGUGGCAGAGCAGUCUGAGAUCUUCGCCGCGAUAGCCGCCAUCGACGAAGCAAGGCAUCCCACUGCUGCGGGGCUGGACAAAUCCAAGGUGAACCUCCUCCAGCUGAUCGACGACGGGGUGGAGGACCUCAGGGUGAUCGUGGUGUGGGGAACAAGUUUCGAUCUCGACAAGACGUCUUCCGUCAAGGAGGCCUAUGAUCUUCGUGUGGAAAAGUUUGACUGCCGGGCUUGGCUCAAAUUGGCAUCUCCCUUCCGUCAGGAUGAACUUUUAAGGAACUUGGUAAGCCAGCUCUCCGCUGAGAAAACCGGAGGAACCGCAGAAAAAUAUGCCUUUGCGGAGUUGGAGGAAAUGGCGACGAAAUUUCUGAGUGAGAAAAGGUUCCUGAUAGUCAUCGAUGGCAUAUGCUCCAUAGUUGACUGGGACUGGAUCAAAACCUACUUCCCCGACAAGAAGAACGGGAGUCGAAUUAUUGUAUCCACGCGGCAAGUUGAAAUUGCAAGUUUGUGCACGGAGCGACCUUACCAAGUUUCGGAGCUCAUGCAGUUGGCAUCUGAUCAGGCUCUUUACCUGUUCCACUACAAGGCUAAGCCUCAAGCUGAUUCUGACGAAACCAUCUCCGACUUGAGUACAAUGGCAGUUGCUGUUGAAUCCCUCGUUAAGAGAGAAUAUGACAAAUCCGUUAUUAUCAAAUUAAUUCAUGGGGCACACGAGAGCAAUGUCUGCAAGGUGAUUUCGCUGUGGGGAAUGGGAGGUAUCGGAAAAACCACUAUUGUCAAAAGAGUCUAUGAAAGUCAAGAACUUGCUAGCUUGUUUCAGAAUCGUGCUUGGAUCACUGUAGCUCGUCCUUUCAAUCUUGAGUCUUCCCUUAGGAGCAUUGGACGGCAAUUGGAUGGAUCAAAUGCAGGUUGGGAUAACGAAAUUGGAUUGAGGGAAAUGAUGGACGCGAUUACUGGGCUUCUGGGGCGCCUGCAGAGGUGCCUUAUUGUCCUUGAUGACCUAACAUCUAAAGAAGAGUGGGAUUCGAUUGCGAAAGUCCUGGGAAAGGCAGCGGUCGUCAUAGUCACCACAAGGGACAAAAAUCUGGCCAGUUAUUGUUCGAGGAAUGGUCAGUACAUGUACAACAUCCGAAUACUGUCAGAACACGAUGCAUUGGAGCUCUUUUUAAGGAAGGUAUUUAAGAAGGACGAAUAUUUUCCUUUAAAAUCUGAUUUGAUGGAGGAAGCGAAACUUAUCCUAAAGAAGUGUGGUGGACUUCCCCUUGCAAUAUCUGUAAUUGGUAGCUUCCUCUCUGAUAAGCCUAAAACCAUCGCUGAAUGGAGGAAGUUGAAUGAUCAUAUUAGCUCUGAAUUGGAGGAUAAUGAAGGACUGCAGACGACUCAAGGCUUGUUUUCUCUAAAUACCAUCCUUGAUAGGAGCUAUAACAAUUUGCCUUAUCAUCUCAAGGCUUGUUUUCUGUACAUGGCCAUUUUUCCGGAGGACUACAACAUUAAGCGAAAACGCUUGAUUAGGUUGUGGGUUGCAGAGGGUUACUCAAGGGAAAUGCAGCACAUGACUGCAGAGGAAGUUGGAGACAAGCACUUUGCUGAGCUGUUUGACAGGAGUAUGAUUCUACCAGCGACAAAGGUAACGCAUAGCACUGGGAAAAUUUAUUCAUGUGUGCUCCAUGAUCUUGUCCGUCAAAUCUGCAUCUCAAAGUCAAUGGAGGAAGAACUUGUAUUUACACUGGAGGAAGGGUGCAGUUCAAACACAAAAAGCAAAGUGCGUCAGCUUGCCAUAAGCAACAACUGGAGAAGAGACAAGGAUGUAUUUGACAGAAUUCUGGACUUAUCUCGUCUACGGUCACUUACCGUGUUUGGGGAGUGGAGAUCGUUUUUCCUUUCCGAUAGCACGAAGCUUCUCCGAGUGCUUGACUUGGAAGAUGCUUCAGGACUAACAGAUCAUCAUCUUAAUCAAAUUUGCGAGCUCCUUCACCUGAAGUACCUUUCUCUACGAGGAUGCAAGAGCAUUUUCAAAAUGCCUGACUCGUUGGGGAAUUUAAGACAACUCGAUACACUGGAUAUCAGAGGUACACAUAUAUUCAAAUUGCCGUCCACUUUUAACAAGCUUCGGAAGCUGCAGCAUCUUCAUGCAUCUGCUUGGUUUAAAGACGAACACAAGGCAGGGUCCUCCACAUCUAAUGAGCUUGUAACGGAUAGUUUGAAGUGGCAUGACAAGCUCAACCUAUCCUGCGGCUGCAACAAGAAUUUUUACUUUCUAGGUCGUCCUGCAUCGUGUGUUGUCCAAGUUCCGAGAGGGAUUGGGAAAUUGAAUGCAGUGCGCACAUUGGGUUACGUCCGUUUUGCACAUGGAAAGGGAAAUGCAUCUGUAAAAGAGCUCAAAGACCUUACUCAGCUGCGUAAGUUAGAAUUACACGGUGUCGAGAGAACAAACAGUAUGAAUUUCUGGUCUGCCAUUUCUGGCCACCAGCAUUUGCGGUCUUUGUCAGUGAAUAGGGACUGUGUGGCAGAUGAGUUGGAUUGUUAUUUGGGUGGGAGCUUGUCACCACCAAAAUACCUCGAGAACCUCAAGCUGUGGGGCCGUCUAGUCAGAGUAAUGGACUGGAUAUACCAGCUUCAGUAUCUAUCAAAGUUGCAGCUACAUCGCAGCGGACUGAACCAAGAUGCAAUACAAGCCAUCGGGAAGCUACCAAAUCUGGCGAUCCUACGUUUUUGGGAAUCUUCGUUUCUGGGGGAAGAGCUCAAAUUCGAAGGGGGGUCAUUCCCCAGUCUCAUUCAGCUGGAGCUUCGUAAAUUGUCUGUCCUUACAUCUGUGAGGUUUGAAGAUGGAGCAAUGCCUAAACUCGAGCUGCUGCAAGCUGCCGGUUGGAGCAAACUACAGGAGUUCUCGGGGCUAGGGUAUCUCAGGAGGAUCAAGGAAAUUCAGCUAGGUCCUGAGUUCAGUGAUGACUUCAAGAAAAAUGUACAGCGUCAGAGAACGGAGCAUCGUAACAAUUUCAGUUUGAAGCUGAAGUCAGACCAGUAUACAUUGCUUCGUGACUUGGAGUCAGCCUAAUCAUCAGGGAUCCACGUGUCGUGACUCCCUCGAUCUGUGUAUGCAUCUCAACAUGUCCAUGCAUCUCUAUUUGUAUGUACCGGCUCAGCUGCUUGCUCGGCACUGCAACUAUUACCAGAAACAGAAGAAAACAGCGGAAACGAAAAACUAAAAGCAGGUCUCAUCGAACGAACUAGAGUAUUUAACCACGGCUAUCAGACAAAUCUAAGGGUAAGUACAUCGUUACAUAUCAGCCGUCUCAUAGCUCGUCUUGUACAAUGCCAUAUAUAAUUUUAAGUGAUAUGGAGGAGAGGAAGGGGAGAGAAAUAGGCUGUGAAGCAACAAUCUCAUAAACUAAGAUCUAGGACUAUGAUACUAUCAUAUAUUAUUGUACGAAUUGUCAUUAUCAUACAACUCAUAAUAUUUAUUUGUUCCAUACACUACCUCAGA
Phragmites australis (common reed) is the source of this 4130-nucleotide RNA transcript. It is a transcript of the gene named disease resistance protein RPM1-like, with no coding region annotated. The transcript has 4 exons. The record is from RefSeq and is a predicted model, not a curated record. NCBI's taxonomy places the organism in Eukaryota, Viridiplantae, Streptophyta, Magnoliopsida, Poales, Poaceae.